ACUUCCUACGGGACGCAGCAGUGGGGGAUAUUGCACAAUGGAGGAAACUCUGACGCAGUGACGCCGCGUAUAGGAAGAAGGUUUUCGGAUUGUAAACUAUUGUCGUUAGGGAAGAGAAAGGACAGUACCUAAGGAGGAAGCUCCGGCUAACUACGUGCCAGCAGCCGCGGUAAUACGUAGGGAGCGAGUGUUAUCCGGAAUUAUUGGGUGUAAAGGGUGCGUAGACGGGAAAGCAAGUUAGUUGUGAAAUCCCUCGGCUUAACUGAGGAACUGCAACUAAAACUACUUUUCUUGAGUGCAGGAGA
This 305-nucleotide ribosomal RNA is filed under the name uncultured bacterium. Its description in RNAcentral is "bacterial SSU rRNA". It matches the Rfam family "Bacterial small subunit ribosomal RNA", at positions 334 to 655 of the family's 1533-position model. The record is from RNAcentral.